GUUUCAGACGAACCCUUGUGGGUUUGAAGC
This is a non-coding RNA of Haloferax volcanii DS2, 30 nucleotides long. The record is from Rfam. NCBI's taxonomy places the organism in Archaea, Methanobacteriati, Methanobacteriota, Halobacteria, Halobacteriales, Haloferacaceae.